Long non-coding RNA from Epinephelus fuscoguttatus (brown-marbled grouper), 263 nucleotides. RefSeq lists it as uncharacterized. The record is from RefSeq and is a predicted model, not a curated record. The transcript has 3 exons. NCBI's taxonomy places the organism in Eukaryota, Metazoa, Chordata, Actinopteri, Perciformes, Serranidae.
UGACUGAAAAACAAUCUGAAAAUCAGACGGCCAUAAGGUGAUCAUCAAAGCUGACCACAUCCUCACUCAAUGAAUGGCAUCAUCAGCACGCUGCCAGGAAGCCUGGAUGAUAAACUGGAGGCACUUCAAAUGCCCGAUCCUCGAAGGGAACACAGAGAGAGGUGGUGAAGUCAGCAGCUCAUUACAAGACGUUGCUGCUUUUCCAGCUGGGAUUGUGCCCUCCAAAUCAGGUAUAUAAAGCCAAAACACAAUCUUUUCCUCAC